This 305-nucleotide ribosomal RNA is filed under the name uncultured bacterium. Its description in RNAcentral is "bacterial SSU rRNA". It matches the Rfam family "Bacterial small subunit ribosomal RNA", at positions 334 to 654 of the family's 1533-position model. The record is from RNAcentral.
CUUGCCUACGGGGGGCAGCAGUGGGGGAUAUUGCACAAUGGGGGAAACCCUGAUGCAGCGACGCCGCGUGGGCGAAGAAGUAUUUCGGUAUGUAAAGCCCUAUCAGCAGGGAAGAAGAAAUGACGGUACCUGAGUAAGAAGCACCGGCUAAAUACGUGCCAGCAGCCGCGGUAAUACGUAUGGUGCAAGCGUUAUCCGGAUUUACUGGGUGUAAAGGGUGCGCAGGCGGUCCUGCAAGUCUGGAGUGAAACGCAUGAGCUCAACUCAUGCAUGGCUUUGGAAACUGGAGGACUGGAGAGCAGGAG